This 493-nucleotide long non-coding RNA is filed under the name Elaeis guineensis (African oil palm). RNAcentral's name for it is "long non-coding RNA (EGUI_LNC038998)". Lineage: Eukaryota; Viridiplantae; Streptophyta; Magnoliopsida; Arecales; Arecaceae. The record is from RNAcentral.
UGACUCAGGGUUAAACUAUCAACCCUGAUGAUAUCAUCCGAAUCGUGCUCAACUCAAUUAGUCCUGUGACUCCUCACUAGGACUACCCUGGCCAAGAUUUUGCUAAAUUGAAACACGACUGUACACAGCUCCUAAACUGGAGUGGUCAAUCCCAUCUUGACACACGCACCGACAAGUCAAGUACUUGACUACACCCAGCAGCCUUCCGUCACUGAAUUAAAAAUUCAAGUAGUCCAGUGCCUAAGUGCAGUGAGUUGCUUGCAAGUCACCGUGGCGGUCUCAGGUCGGAGGGAUAUUUAUAUCCAUAUCCCAUCGGAGCAAAUCUUGACAGCAGAAAUAGCUCCGGAGUUGGUCACGUUCAGUGCAGAUGUACCAUUAUAUCUCACCUGUAUGCCAUACCAGUGUCUCCACACUCUUUGGUUAUGAGGACAACCAACCCAUAUGGCACAUAAUGACCUAUGCUUGAUAAACGUUGUCGUCCUUGGUAACAACG